This 301-nucleotide ribosomal RNA is filed under the name uncultured bacterium. Its description in RNAcentral is "partial 16S ribosomal RNA". It matches the Rfam family "Bacterial small subunit ribosomal RNA", at positions 509 to 807 of the family's 1533-position model. The record is from RNAcentral.
CAGUAGCCGCGGUAAUACGAAGGGUGCAAGCGUUACUCGGAAUUACUGGGCGUAAAGCGUGCGUAGGUGGUGGUUUAAGUCCGUUGUGAAAGCCCUGGGCUCAACCUGGGAAUUGCAGUGGAUACUGGGUCACUAGAGUGUGGUAGAGGAUAGUGGAAUUUCCGGUGUAGCAGUGAAAUGCGUAGAGAUCGGAAGGAACAUCUGUGGCGAAGGCGACUAUCUGGGCCAACACUGACACUGAGGCACGAAAGCGUGGGGAGCAAACAGGAUUAGAGACCCCCGUAGUCCCUGUCUCUUAUAC